Molecule: small nuclear RNA, 102 nt
Organism: Jaculus jaculus (lesser Egyptian jerboa)
Lineage: Eukaryota; Metazoa; Chordata; Mammalia; Rodentia; Dipodidae
Source: Ensembl
GUGCUCACUUUGGCAGCACAUAAAACUGAAAUUAUACAGAGAAGAUUAGCAUGGACCUUGCACAGGGAUGACACGCAAAUUCGUGAAGCAUGCCAUAUUAAA